Potamilus streckersoni is the source of this 75-nucleotide non-coding RNA. The record is from the annotation of a GenBank genome assembly. NCBI's taxonomy places the organism in Eukaryota, Metazoa, Mollusca, Bivalvia, Unionida, Unionidae.
GUCGUAAUAGCUUAGUUGGUAGAGCGUCGGAGUUUUGAUCGUAGUGUCCCAUGUUUAAUACAGCCCUGGUCGGCU